GACAGAGGAUGCAAGCGUUAUCCGGAAUGAUUGGGCGUAAAGCGUCUGUAGGUGGCUUUUUAAGUUCGCCGUCAAAUCCCAGGGCUCAACCCUGGACAGGUGGUGGAAACUACCAAGCUAGAGUACGGUAGGGGCAGGGGGAAUUUCCGGUGGAGCGAUGAGAUGCGUAGAGAUCGGAAGGAACACCCAAGGCGAAAGCACUCUGCUGGGCCGACACUGACACUGAGAGACGAAAGCUAGGGGAGCAAACGGG
This 253-nucleotide ribosomal RNA is filed under the name uncultured bacterium. RNAcentral's name for it is "partial 16S ribosomal RNA". It matches the Rfam family "Bacterial small subunit ribosomal RNA", at positions 524 to 776 of the family's 1533-position model. The record is from RNAcentral.